AUAUACGACAAUAACUGUCAAAAUCAUUGUCAUGCGUUUUGUUAUUCAAUAAUCAAAUUCUUGUGAAUCUACAUGAGUAUUUUAAAAAUAACCAUUCUCAUAACCCUCGUUCUUCUUGCAGUUAUUACUUACAGUCAUACAAUAACACAAACAAAUUCAGUACAACCUGUAAAUUUACAAAUCAAAUUAUCUAACAGCUAUUCGGACCUGGUGAAAAUGGGUAAAGAGAUGUUGUGGCCGACACCAAAACCCACUAUAUACACAAAUAUGGAAAAGAUAAUUACCUUAGCGCAAUUAUGUUUCGAUUAUUUACCAUGGUUACAAAAAGAAUAAACGAAAAAUGCUAAAUCGACUUAUUAUUUUAGUUCAAGAAAAAGUUGGUAAAAAUGUGAGAAAAGCCGCUGAAAAAUUAUUACCAACUGUGCAAGGAUACGCAGGUGCUGCUGCGCAAGUUGGAUUAGUACAUGCUGUAGUUCCUUAAAAUAUUCGUAUUAAAUUUCAACCCAUUAUUAUUAAUUUCAUCUAUUUCAACUUAUUUAUAUGCCAUAUUAUUGAAAAUAAGCUUUUUGUACCAUUGUAGUAUCAUUUAAAUAAAAAUUUAAUCGUAA
Long non-coding RNA from Diorhabda carinulata, 608 nucleotides. RefSeq lists it as uncharacterized. The transcript is spliced from 3 exons. The record is from RefSeq and is a predicted model, not a curated record. NCBI's taxonomy places the organism in Eukaryota, Metazoa, Arthropoda, Insecta, Coleoptera, Chrysomelidae.